Molecule: long non-coding RNA, 596 nt
Organism: Octopus bimaculoides (California two-spot octopus)
Lineage: Eukaryota; Metazoa; Mollusca; Cephalopoda; Octopoda; Octopodidae
Source: RefSeq, a predicted model, not a curated record
AGUAUCUACAGAAAGUGGAUGAGAAGAAAGCGGUCAGUUACUAAAAUCUAUUGAAUAUCAGAGUAAUUUUUCUACAAUCUCCUGUUCAACAAAGAAACGCAAACAUAAAAUUGAUGGCUAUCCUUCGGAGAUGGUACACGACGUCAUUCACUCACACAACCUUCCUUCAUGCAAUAGAUAAAGAGGCUUCGCUGAAAAAGAUGGAGAAUGACAUCGUCCUCUCAUACCGACUCUCCGUAGUCAUUUGAUACAGCCAUAGAGGAAGCCUGUGAGAACUGGAAUCAAUAUACAUUGGAGAAACUUCUAGGAGUUUAGCGGAGAGACUAGACAUGGUAGAAGUACAAUGACAGGAAACAGAUCUUUUCCUUUUCAUGGGCAGCUUGAUUAAUUAAUUUUCUUUAACUAAAUACUUUGAAACUUCGGAUACUGGUAGAAUGUGUCAUAUAGAACAUCUUUUACUCUUAGCGUUGUUGAGAAAAGUUUCUAUUUACGAAGUUAUUUCGUGUUAAAGUUGUUGUAUUUCGGUAAUUUCAACCAAUCAAUGAUGUGUAUUCAGCUGAAUAAAAUUACUGCUGUUGUUUGUCAGCAACAACUUC